AUCACACUUGAAGAGCGGGUGGGUUGUCUGGUCCCAGGGAGAAGGAAGGAGCAGAUGGGGAGGAAUGAGGCCGGGAACCGUGGUUGGGGUUUUCUGAAUUUGUUGAAGCCACUAGUUGGCGCCCUUUAACAAUUCUACAAACCUUUAGAUGGUGAGGCUUCUGUGGCUGGACUGGGAAGGUUUAAUGUCUGCUUUUUGACAAUUUGGGUCUGGAGGGGGCUUAGGCUUCCACAAAAAUUACUUUGUGGACAGUUUCAUAGGCUUUUGCCUUUUAACUCUUCAAAGCAACAGUUUUCUCAACUGUCAUCCCCGCGGGGGAGUGGGGAAGACAAGUGUUCUUGAGAAGGAAAAGCUGACAGGAUCUGGGUUGAGCAAGCAUUAAUUGAGCGCCUUCUGUGUCCUGGACAUCAUGCCAACACCAUGGGCAGCCCGAGAAGAGAGGUGGGUGGUUUGGACCCCAGCUCUGCCUUGAACCUCACCUGCUCUCCUCUACUCCCAGUGUUUAUUGGAUAUUCCAGAACGGUACAAACAAACCAUAAACUUUAUAUUACAGGUUCAUUCUGUGUAAAUACUAUUAUCUUCAAGUUGUAGUUUCUUUCUUGGGUCCAGGCUGUGAAAUUGGCUUCACCCCUACCACACCCCAGCGGACAGGCUUGUUCUCAUGUCACGCUCCACCCCUCCAGUCUCCUCAACUGGAAAACUUGCCUCUUUUCCUCACUUCCUCUGCUCCUUACGAUGGCUUCACAUGGAAGGUGAAGCCGAGAUCACCCCAAUUUUACAGGCGAGGAAACUGAGGCCAGGAGUGCCUAUUGGGGCUGAGAAAUUGCCAGGAUUUCCUUCCCCAUUAAGGAGCUGAGAGUCCUAGCUCCAGACUCAUUGGCUUGUUCUAACAUCAAAACCACUGAUGGGAAAAACCACUUAGUGGAAUUCAAUGCUAUCUGCUGUAUUAGUUUAAAUCAGUGGCAUUCAAACUUGUUUCUCCUUUUCACUGCAGAACACGUUCUUGACAUGUACUUGACUCAGAGUCCCACGACUAAAGGAGACAGAGCUCAAGGCAGCCCACCUGAGGCUGGGGAGGGAGUCCAGAGUGCAGGCCACCUGGCCCCCAUUUCCCCACCCCUUGGGGGCCUUUGGGCAGCUCCUUGAACCCCUGAAAGGGGCCACCAGGAUAAAGUUUGUUAAAAUGCAUGCCUUGUGCCCCACUGUCAUAUGAUGGGCUUUUGGUACUCUUCACUCCCCCAGCAGGCAAAGACACUGGCCAUCCCCAAAUUCCUUCCCCUCCUGCACAGCGUCACCCACCUGCCAAGCAGCCUCAUGUUGGACCAUUUGCCAGCAGGCCCUGCAGGUCUGGGGGACAGCCUAGAGGUGGUGACUUACAUGCGCAGCAUAAGAGUUUUCAGGGGACCAAAAGGACUCAAUACAUGCCAUUGGCUCCUGACUCAGUUUCCCCAAGCCAUGCCUCCUGAGUGCUCCAUCUGUCUCCAAAUCCUGGUUUCUGUGCGGGGACCUCUGUCUACAAUAAACAGGAUACUAUGAGCUCAUUCUUCAAUGUCCUCUUGUCAUGCUUUCAGAUGAUUCAAAGUAUAUAAGCUAAGCCCAUUUGCAGGAAGCUCAUAGAGGGCGACUGGCUCAUCACUUGAAAAUACGGUUGGAGUGAGAUGGAGAGCCCAGAGUCUCCUGAUUCCUGGUCUACCACCGGACCACAUGGCUCCAAAACCAACACUGGAACUGACGUCCUCUACUGGAAUCCAAUGGAGAACGAAGAAAGGAACUGGAAAGAGGUUGUCUGUGGGGGAGACGAGGGUGUGGAAAGGUCCCAGAAUCAGAGGACCACCAGUGUGGGGCCUCGCAGAUCUUCCCUGAGGAUUCGGGCUAUCUUCCAAAUGUCCAACACACGUUCCACAUUCCACGGACAGCUGGCUGCAGGCAAAGGGGACAGGAGGACGCUGCUGUGAAGUCAGUCUUAAAGAGAGAGGGAGAGAGAAAGUGGAGUUACUCUUUUUCUCUGUUUUCCUUGGGCAGAAGCACAAUAAAUCAGCAUGGCAGAAUUAAAUUCAGAUCUGUCCGAUUUCCUCCA
Long non-coding RNA from Macaca mulatta (Rhesus monkey), 2077 nucleotides. RefSeq lists it as uncharacterized. Lineage: Eukaryota; Metazoa; Chordata; Mammalia; Primates; Cercopithecidae. The record is from RefSeq and is a predicted model, not a curated record.